Molecule: ribosomal RNA, 478 nt
Filed under: Streptococcus sanguinis
Lineage: Bacteria; Bacillati; Bacillota; Bacilli; Lactobacillales; Streptococcaceae
Description: bacterial SSU rRNA
Rfam family: Bacterial small subunit ribosomal RNA
Source: RNAcentral
GACGAACGCUGGCGGCGUGCCUAAUACAUGCAAGUAGAACGCUGAAGAGAGGAGCUUGCUCUUCUUGGAUGAGUUGCGAACGGGUGAGUAACGCGUAGGUAACCUGCCUGGUAGCGGGGGAUAACUAUUGGAAACGAUAGCUAAUACCGCAUAAAAUUGAUUAUUGCAUGAUAAUUAAUUGAAAGAUGCAAUUGCAUCACUACCAGAUGGACCUGCGUUGUAUUAGCUAGUUGGUGAGGUAACGGCUCACCAAGGCGACGAUACAUAGCCGACCUGAGAGGGUGAUCGGCCACACUGGGACUGAGACACGGCCCAGACUCCUACGGGAGGCAGCAGUAGGGAAUCUUCGGCAAUGGGGGGAACCCUGACCGAGCAACGCCGCGUGAGUGAAGAAGGUUUUCGGAUCGUAAAGCUCUGUUGUAAGAGAAGAACGGGUGUGAGAGUGGAAAGUUCACACUGUGACGUAUCUACCAGAAAG